UACAGAAAAAGAAAAUUAGGAAAGCACAAACCUUGGUUCUCGCUGGUGAUCAUGAUUAUGGAUCGAUCGAUGAAACACAAAUUCGUCUGCUUCCUCCGCAGUCGAAUUGUAGUUUUAAAGCCAAAGAAUCUGCCAACUGGUCGUCAAUUUCACUAUCCCUCUCUUGGCCAUCGUCCUUCUCCGUCGUGUAAUCAUAUCCUUCGCCGCCGUUGAAAGAAUCCUUGGGUGAAAGCGUUUCGGUGGCGAGAUCUUUGAUCGUGUGAAAUUAGGGAGUCACGAACUAAAAAGUGAACUCGAUUGAUUGAAGAUUGUUGUCACGAGAGAAGGAAAGCACAUCAGUGAUCAGUCUCGCAGGGAAAUUGCAGGUAAAAAAAGAAAGAAGAAGAAGAAGAAGAAGAAG
Molecule: RNA transcript, 400 nt
Organism: Arabidopsis thaliana (thale cress)
Lineage: Eukaryota; Viridiplantae; Streptophyta; Magnoliopsida; Brassicales; Brassicaceae
Exons: 1
Source: RefSeq